AGUGAACGCUGGCGGUAGGCCUAACACAUGCAAGUCGAACGGCAGCACAGUAAGAGCUUGCUCUUACGGGUGGCGAGUGGAGGACGGGUGAGGAAUACAUCGGAAUCUACUUUUUCGUGGGGGAUAACGUAGGGAAACUUACGCUAAUACCGCAUACGACCUACGGGUGAAAGCAGGGGAUCUUCGGACCUUGCGCGAUUGAAUGAGCCGAUGUCGGAUUAGCUAGUUGGCGGGGUAAAGGCCUACCAAGGCGACGAUCCGUAGCUGGUCUGAGAGGAUGAUCAGCCACACUGGAACUGAGACACGGUCCAGACUCCUACGGGAGGCAGCAGUGGGGAAUAUUGGACAAUGGGCGCAAGCCUGAUCCAGCCAUACCGCGUGGGUGAAGAAGGCUUUCGGGUUGUAAAGCCCUUUUGUUGGGAAAGAAAAGCAGCAGGUUAAUACCCCGCUGUUCUGACAGUACCCAAAGAAUAAGCACCGGCUAACUUCGUG
RNAcentral lists this ribosomal RNA (492 nucleotides) under uncultured bacterium. Its description in RNAcentral is "partial 16S ribosomal RNA". It matches the Rfam family "Bacterial small subunit ribosomal RNA", at positions 29 to 507 of the family's 1533-position model. The record is from RNAcentral.